This 401-nucleotide ribosomal RNA is filed under the name uncultured bacterium. Its description in RNAcentral is "bacterial SSU rRNA". It matches the Rfam family "Bacterial small subunit ribosomal RNA", at positions 28 to 430 of the family's 1533-position model. The record is from RNAcentral.
GACGAACGCUGGCGGCGUGCUUAACACAUGCAAGUCGAGCGGUAAGGCCCUUUCGGGGGUACACGAGCGGCGAACGGGUGAGUAACACGUGGGUGACCUGCCCUCAGCUCUGGGAUAAGCCUGGGAAACCGGGUCUAAUACCGGAUAUGACUCCAUGACGCAUGUUGUGGGGUGGAAAGCCUUGUGCGGCUGAGGAUGGGCCCGCGGCCUAUCAGCUUGUUGGUGGGGUGAUGGCCUACCAAGGCGACGACGGGUAGCCGGCCUGAGAGGGCGACCGGCCACACUGGGACUGAGACACGGCCCAGACUCCUACGGGAGGCAGCAGUGGGGAAUAUUGGACAAUGGGCGCAAGCCUGAUCCAGCGAUGCCGCGUGUGUGAAGAAGGCCUGCGGGUUGUAAAG